Small nucleolar RNA from Carlito syrichta (Philippine tarsier), 69 nucleotides. Its record names the gene SNORD25. It matches the Rfam family "Small nucleolar RNA SNORD25". From Rfam's summary of the family: U25 is a member of the C/D class of snoRNA which contain the C (UGAUGA) and D (CUGA) box motifs. U25 is found in gene clusters in plants, and within the U22 snoRNA host gene (UHG) in mammals. U25 is thought to as a 2'-O-ribose methylation guide for ribosomal RNA. The record is from Ensembl. Lineage: Eukaryota; Metazoa; Chordata; Mammalia; Primates; Tarsiidae.
CUCCCUGUGAUGAGGACCUUUUCACAGACCUGUACUGAGUUCCGUGAGGAUAAAUAACUCUGAGGAAAC